AAAACAUCUCUCCUGAACCAACAUCACUAAUGAAAGCAACCUGUCCUCCUGCCCCUCAGAAUCUGGAACCGGAUCCUCUAAUGAUGUCAUAAGACCUGAGCUGUAUUCACCUAGGAAUCAUGUUGUAAAAUACUCAAGAAAGCACAGGUGAGUCUUUGUCCUUGAAGAGGGCAAAUUAAAGAGAAGGUGGCAGGUAUCAAAGGCAGGUGGUGACUCUUCCUAUUGCUUUCUGAUGUCUCCAAGGCCAAUCCCUGAAUGCAUGGCCCCUCUAGGGAAUCAUGACCCAGGAUCCCAAACCACUGGGAGAAAUCUUCACUC
This 318-nucleotide long non-coding RNA is filed under the name Homo sapiens (human). RNAcentral's name for it is "non-protein coding lnc-RETNLB-1:1". Lineage: Eukaryota; Metazoa; Chordata; Mammalia; Primates; Hominidae. The record is from RNAcentral.